CCUGUCUGUGCAGGUCGGGAUGUGACCAGCGGGGUCGAAGACCCCAAAACGGCGUCGCCGCCGGGUUGAACCACGCA
RNAcentral lists this non-coding RNA (77 nucleotides) under unclassified sequences. RNAcentral describes it as "eL15-Euryarchaeota ribosomal protein leader". It matches the Rfam family "eL15-Euryarchaeota ribosomal protein leader". The record is from RNAcentral.